UACGUAGGGGGCAAGCGUUGUCCGGAUUUAUUGGGCGUAAAGAGCGUGUAGGCGGCCUGAAAGGUCAGCUGUGAAAACUCGAGGCUCAACCUCGAGACGUCGGUUGAAACCAUCUGGCUAGAGUCCGGAAGAGGAGUGUGGAAUUCCCGGUGUAGCGGUGAAAUGCGCAGAUAUCAGGAGGAACACCGGUGGCGAAGGCGGUGGGCUGGGCCGGCACUGACGCUGAGGCGCGAGAGCGUGGGGAGCGAACCGG
This 253-nucleotide ribosomal RNA is filed under the name uncultured bacterium. Its description in RNAcentral is "partial 16S ribosomal RNA". It matches the Rfam family "Bacterial small subunit ribosomal RNA", at positions 524 to 776 of the family's 1533-position model. The record is from RNAcentral.